AUGGCCUUGGACUCUAUGAGUGCCAAGGUGGAGGGUGGAAAUGAAAAACCUGAAGUCUGGCUCUGUGAUGGCCUUCUGCAUACCUGUGGGCAAGUCACUCCCACUGUCACGCUGCUCCGGAAGUCUCCCCAUGUCUACUCCAAGAGAACUACAGUUUGUGCCCUAAGUAUGUGCAUCUCUCUCUUCAUCCCUCCUAAUGACUUCUACCCCGAUACCUAACUUCAGAUUUCCAGUUAAUCUGAAUUCCUAUCUUGCCCCUUUGAACUCACAACC
Molecule: long non-coding RNA, 273 nt
Organism: Lepidothrix coronata (blue-crowned manakin)
Lineage: Eukaryota; Metazoa; Chordata; Aves; Passeriformes; Pipridae
Exons: 4
Source: RefSeq, a predicted model, not a curated record